Triticum urartu is the source of this 891-nucleotide long non-coding RNA. RefSeq lists it as uncharacterized. Lineage: Eukaryota; Viridiplantae; Streptophyta; Magnoliopsida; Poales; Poaceae. The record is from RefSeq and is a predicted model, not a curated record.
CAACCGCCGCUUGUAGAUCACGCCCACCAGCGCCGUCCACCGCCACACAUCCCCGCCCCAAGCCCGGCUCCUCCGCCGCGCCGCUGCACAACCCCCCCCAACCCAGCUUCCUCCGCCGCGCCGCCACACAUCCUUGCCCGGCUGCCCCCAAGCCCGCCUCCGUCGCGCAGCCGCUUCCUCUGCCGUGCCGCCAACCAUCCCGUCUCCUCCCUGGAUCCUUGCCGUCAGCUCCUCCCUUGAUCCUUGCCGCCGUCAAAGUUCCGAUGGUCGUUCGAGCUCGCUGGCGUGACAGUGGCGCCCAACUUCCCUCGCCCCCGAGAUCCUUUCUCAUUCCCGAGCACCUCGACAACAUCUGACACCGGUUUCUGUUCAGGUUCGACGCAUAUUUUAGUUUGAACCCUUUUUUAGUUCCAAAAUUUGGCAGGUAUUUCAAUUCAGGAAGAUUUGGUAUAAAAAAUUUGCAUGGGUUAGUUGUGGAUGGAUCAUUUGUCUAUCAAAUUGGGGAUUUGUACUUUGUUCAGAAGGUUUCUUCUUCCCCCUCGUGUGUCGCCGGCCAUCCUCUUCCUGACCUUCGUCUUGGACCAAAGAUGGCCUUCUCUCCACACUUGUGCUGACCUUCUUCCUUCUGCUGCUCCCUCCUCCCCUACCGGAUGAAAAAACUACAUUACACGAUGGUGUAGAACCUCCAGUAUUACUCAUCCUUUUUUGCAGCAGUAGAUCACACAGUUUGAAUGAAGACUAAAGUUUCAGAGUUAUGUGGAUGGAAGGUUCAGAGAUGUUUUUGCAUUCAGACAUGUUUUUCCUCUUGUUUUUUGUUUCUUAACUUCUUCAUAAUUGUAAUUUCUGAUGCAACAUGUUGUUAUUUGGAAAGCUUAUGGACUCUUGUGUGUA